UACGUAGGGUGCGAGCGUUGUCCGGAAUUAUUGGGCGUAAAGAGCGUGUAGGCGGCUUUGCAAGUCCGUUGUGAAAACUCGAGGCUCAACCUCGAGACGCCGGUGGAAACUGCAAAGCUAGAGUCCGGAAGAGGAGAGUGGAAUUCCUGGUGUAGCGGUGAAAUGCGCAGAUAUCAGGAAGAACACCCGUGGCGAAGGCGGCUCUCUGGGACGGUACUGACGCUGAGACGCGAAAGCGUGGGGAGCGAACAGG
This 253-nucleotide ribosomal RNA is filed under the name uncultured bacterium. Its description in RNAcentral is "partial 16S ribosomal RNA". It matches the Rfam family "Bacterial small subunit ribosomal RNA", at positions 524 to 776 of the family's 1533-position model. The record is from RNAcentral.